CUGGAGGCGAAACCAUAUGGCAAAGACUCGUGAAGAUGGAGGAAGGCAACAGCUGCUCAGAGCUGCACAGACACGGAGCAAAGGAACACGGUCAAAAACAGCGUACUUGACUGGCUUGUUGUCGGCAUCGGGGUCCCUGGCCGACACCACGCCGACGAAGCUGCCGGCCGCCGUGUCCUCGUGCACCUCGAUGACGUAAGGGUUCCGGGUGAAGACGGGGGACUCGUCCACAUCCUCCACGGUUAUCUUGACCGUGGCGUAGUCUUUGAACUGCAGGCCGUGGAUGAACCUGGCGUCCAAAGGACGAUAUUGGACACAGGCAAAAGUGGAGAACUGGUGAAUGCGAUUGCUGUCAAGCCACAGAAGUUCGGUGCCAGAAAGCAUCAAAGGCCGGAGAAGAAAGCCACACGACGCCAGCCGCUGACACAUCAACGGACGGCCCCGCUCUUAGUUAGCAUUUGCUUUGCUGCUUCAUCAUAUAACACAACAAGAGAUAUGAAUGGUCGCGUGCUUCUCCAUCAACGCUGCCCACAGCACAUCACAAGUGAGAUCCGCCUGCACCGCCUCUCUGCACACGGACAGAUAUCAACACACACACACACACACACACACACACAGCCUGGCAUGGACACUUUAACAGGUGCACACACACUUUGGGAUGCACAUGUAUGUUGCAUGUGACACAUACAUGGAUUUGGACGUGUGCUCUGUGGGGUGCCUGCUGGUUCCCAGUGUGGAGUCAGGGAAGCUGCCUCUUGGAUGUAACACUUCUCAUCUUGAGACAAAGUUAAUUCUCUUCAGUCUUUAUGAAAUCACAGCAUAGCCCCGAGUCAUGACGCCCACCUCAAAGUUACGCAUGCAGCGUUACCAACUGUGUGACAGGUGCACGGCGCCGAGCAACACACACACAUUGUAAAGGAAAGGAACAGAUCCUGUAAAACACUGAGUCAUCACCCAUCAUUAAUCAGCCUUAAGUUCAAAUGUCAGGAGGAUGAAUCAGGAAAUCUCCUCUCCUCUGACAACAUGCAGUUCAUCUCAUUUCAAACACAAAUUAAAACACAAAACAAAUUCCAAUCAGAGAAUUGAGGAGAUAAAUCCUGCAGCUUCCCACUCCAGUGGCUGCGAUGCCGUUAUCAAGCGCUUUGAAGUUGCAACACUUCUUUUCAUGUGACGCUGCCGCUGCAGCAGUCGUCUGGCUCGGUCACAGAGCAAAGAGCAGAGCAGCCCCUCUGGAGUCUGGAGGCAGACGAAAUAUAAAUAUGUCCCUCAACGUUAGUCGGAGGAAGCCCUUACCUUUUUGUGAUGUUCACAGCUUAGCAUCCAUCUGUGUCACUGAGUGCUCGGUACUGUGUUCCUACUCCUGAGCAGUGCUUAGCGCUGGAGAAUCUGACUCCUCACGGCAGAGCUUACAUUCCAAGACUGACAACAGCACAGCUGGUGCGAAU
This is a long non-coding RNA of Hippoglossus stenolepis (Pacific halibut), 1445 nucleotides long. RefSeq lists it as uncharacterized. NCBI's taxonomy places the organism in Eukaryota, Metazoa, Chordata, Actinopteri, Pleuronectiformes, Pleuronectidae. The record is from RefSeq and is a predicted model, not a curated record. The transcript is spliced from 4 exons.